Molecule: ribosomal RNA, 16 nt
Filed under: Cytospora sp. 35 NA17
Lineage: Eukaryota; Fungi; Ascomycota; Sordariomycetes; Diaporthales; Cytosporaceae
Description: partial 18S ribosomal RNA
Source: RNAcentral
CUCGGAGGGAUCAUUG